GUAGUUGAUCUUGGCUCAGAACGAACGCUGGCGGCAGGCUUAACACAUGCAAGUCGGAGCGCGAGGCCUUCGGGCCUCGAGCGGCGGACGGGUGAGUAACGCGUGGGAACGUGCCCUUUCCUCCGGAAUAGCCCUGGGAAACCCGGGAGUAAUGCCGGAUACGCCCCUCGGGAGUGGAUCCCGUGGGGGAAAGAUUUAUCGGGGAAGGAUCGGCCCGCGCCGGAUUAGGUAGUUGGUGGGGUAACGGCCUACCAAGCCGACGAUCCGUAGCUGGUUUGAGAGGAUGAUCAGCCACACUGGGACUGAGACACGGCCCAGACUCCUACGGGGGGCAGCAGUGGGGAAUUUUGGACAAUGGGGGCAACCCUGAUCCAGCCAUGCCGCGUGUGUGAAGAAGGCC
This 400-nucleotide ribosomal RNA is filed under the name uncultured Alphaproteobacteria bacterium. RNAcentral describes it as "bacterial SSU rRNA". It matches the Rfam family "Bacterial small subunit ribosomal RNA", at positions 9 to 416 of the family's 1533-position model. The record is from RNAcentral. Lineage: Bacteria; Pseudomonadati; Pseudomonadota; Alphaproteobacteria.